Long non-coding RNA from Sebastes umbrosus (honeycomb rockfish), 1083 nucleotides. RefSeq lists it as uncharacterized. NCBI's taxonomy places the organism in Eukaryota, Metazoa, Chordata, Actinopteri, Perciformes, Sebastidae. The record is from RefSeq and is a predicted model, not a curated record. The transcript has 2 exons.
UGUUUUAAUCUUAUCCUUUAAUUUUGUGUUUCCUAAUACAGUAUAUUGUAAUGCUGCGCAUGUCAUUGUUCCCCCUGUUUUUCAAAUCACUGGGUGUUCGGUUCAUCUGUCAACUGGAUAACCCUUUGCCCUCGUCAGGCUGCGUGUUGUGAGAGCGUAGUGAAAGAAUGGUGCAUAUACCACAAAUGUCAUGCCCUCUCCAGGAGGAAUAACAAUGGAAGGUGGGCUUGGUUAAGGACAACAAGCGGGGGAAAUACCACGCUAUAAAUAUGUUAGAAGUGCUGCGUCUGAGUCUGUGAAAGGUCGGUGUUGACUGACUGCGGCGGUUCUGGAUUUAAGACGCUGUAAGGGGGUGUAGACUGUAAGCGAGAGGAAAGAAAUGGGUGCUGAUUAUUCUGGGUCAGUGGCCCAUACCUUACUCACACAUGCACCUCACACAGCUUAAGUUGAUAUACUGUAAAGGCUUUUUUUUCCCUCGCUCACAUACUCAUACACACUGCUCGCCAAACUCAAUACUGUUUCCUGAGUCCAGCAGAAUGUUUUCUAAUCUCUCCAGAGUUAUGGUACAUUACACAUGUUAUGGCUGCAGCAGACUAACCCUCCGCUGAACUACAAAGAAACUCGACAUAGGUGAGGCCGGAGUCAGAAAGGGGCCCGAGCUCCGUUAAGUGCUCCCACAUGUGCUGUAUUUAACUCGAUAUCAUAGCGUUGGUCUAGCAGAACGCAGCUCCGUUGCCAUAGUACUAGCUGGACAACAAGUGUACACAGUGGUGAAGAUUAAGACGUGCAGGCUGGAGCUGGCAGCGAGCAGGCGAAGGGCUCUGCUGUAACUAAUGAUGCUGUGUUACAGUGCCAGGGCAUUCCUCACUGCUUUUCCAUGAAACUACACAAGGAUUUCCAGAGGAAUUGAAAGUGACGGAUAGAAAGAGGGAAGAUGGGGAAGGCAUGGAAAGAGUAUAUAGUUCUACAGUAUGUCUUAUGGAUACAGCUGGCAGCUGGUCAGAACAUCUGGAGUUAGGGGCCUCAUUAGAUGAAAGAUGAGUGCUGGAUGAGUUUGAGUGUAUCUAUAAAGUUAAAAUAAAU